RNAcentral lists this ribosomal RNA (253 nucleotides) under uncultured bacterium. Its description in RNAcentral is "partial 16S ribosomal RNA". It matches the Rfam family "Bacterial small subunit ribosomal RNA", at positions 524 to 776 of the family's 1533-position model. The record is from RNAcentral.
UACGGGGGGGGCAAGCGUUGCUCGGAAUUACUGGGCGUAAAGGGCUCGUAGGCGGCCAACUAAGUCAUACGUGAAAUCCCUCAGCUUAACUGGGGAACUGCGUGUGAUACUGGAUGGCUUGGAUUUGGGAGAGGGAUGCGGAAUUCCAGGUGUAGCGGUGAAAUGCGUAGAUAUCUGGAGGAACACCGGUGGCGAAGGCGGCAUCCUGGACCGAUAUUGACGCUGAGGAGCGAAAGCUAGGGGAGCAAACGGG